Molecule: ribosomal RNA, 253 nt
Filed under: uncultured bacterium
Lineage: Bacteria
Description: partial 16S ribosomal RNA
Rfam family: Bacterial small subunit ribosomal RNA
Source: RNAcentral
UACAGAGGGGGCAAGCGUUAUUCGGAAUCAUUGGGCGUAAAGCGCGCGUAGGCGGCCCGAUCAGUCCGCUGUAAAAGUCCAGGGCUCAACCCUGGAAAGCCGGUGGAUACUGUCGGGCUAGAGUCCGGAAGAGGCGAGUGGAAUUCCUGGUGUAGCGGUGGAAUGCGCAGAUAUCAGGAGGAACACCGAUAGCGAAGGCAGCUCGCUGGGACGGUACUGACGCUGAGGUGCGAAAGCGUGGGGAGCGAACAGG